Molecule: long non-coding RNA, 1046 nt
Organism: Dermacentor andersoni
Lineage: Eukaryota; Metazoa; Arthropoda; Arachnida; Ixodida; Ixodidae
Source: RefSeq, a predicted model, not a curated record
ACCCUGUGAAUCGCGCUUUUCUGUCGUCAAAUCUGAAACUUCCGCUGGCGGUUCGUUCGUGGUUUGUGGUGUGAGUAUUCGAGUAGAGAAGUUCUUUAUUCUAUGGUGGAGAACUUUGGAUCGUGUUAGGAGGAACGGCAGCAACAACUUCAAGCACCUGUCUUCACCUGGCAGGUCGCAUUUGAAACUCUGUGCAAGCUGUCUUUGUUUAAAUCACAAUCUGUGCCAAAUAGUAAAGAAAGUCUGGUGCCCUUUCUCACUUCAGGAGAAAUUGAAUGCGAGUCAUUCAAUGUCAGCUUGAAGAAUACCUGAAACAAUAGCACGCCAGUCCCCGUGUAAGCAGCUGCAUCUUUCCCUGACAUGGCACAAAGAUGGAAGAUCCGCACCCGUCAUCUCAUCGACCAACUUUCUGCGUGGGAAUCCCAGUUGUGAAUAGAAGAAUGCAACCAAGUAUUCCAGAGUGAAAAUCAAGCAUUUCCAGUUAGCAGAAAUGGUAGGCCUGCUGAUCAAAACAUGGCUCCAGGGCCCACAACGAGCUCUUUGCGGUAGACCAGCUGAAGUUCAGUUGUAAUUCCAAUCAGUAACUUUUGCAAGCACCACAAAUCAGUUGUGUGUGUGUGUGUAUUUUGAGAAAUUGUUCUAUAAGCUAAUGUGAAGAGUGGUGUAGUUUUCGCAGCCAUUAUUUAGGCAAAAUAAGUAUUUUAAAACAUUGGUUACUGGAAAGACUUAUUCAAAAGAGAGCAUUGUUAAUGUACCUUUGCUGUCUUUUAAAAAAACUUACAAUUCUGUCCAAGACUUAGCAAUGUUUGCUUUGUCUGAAAAUUCAGUGUGCUACAUACGGUGAUGCUUUCAAAGAAAAGCUAAUCAGCCGCUUUACCUCUUUAAGAACAUAGCAUUUACAAUUUUAACUAAAACAAUUUUAUUUUUGUUGCAUUAAUAAUGUAAGUUCUCUGCAAACUUACUAAGGACCCACUGUGUUAGUCGUGUUCAUGGCAACCAUACUCCAUCACAAUUGUAUUUAUUAAAUAAACUGUGUUUUUACUGUU